This 260-nucleotide long non-coding RNA is filed under the name Lathyrus oleraceus (garden pea). RNAcentral's name for it is "Pisum sativum (pea) long non-coding RNA (PSAT_LNC012313)". The record is from RNAcentral. Lineage: Eukaryota; Viridiplantae; Streptophyta; Magnoliopsida; Fabales; Fabaceae.
UUAGCUAGAUUCUUGUAGAAAUUCCUUCCAUCGAUAAGAUUUACUUCCUCCAUGUAAUACCCUUGAUAUGCUUCCAUAUUAUCCACUAUUCUGCCAUUCCUCCAAAUCGCUAUCCUAUGAUGAAGUGACAAAGGUACAACUCCUAUGACAUGUAUCCACUCCCGACCAAGGAGCACAUUAUAGCUUGCCUUGGACGCGAUAACCAUGAAAAUAAUAGGUAAGGUUAUCGAACCAAUCGUAACAUUGACCUGGAUAAUGCC